CCAAGAUGGCCGCCGGGCUGGAGGCUCAACGGAAGGGAGGGAGCAGACGCUCUGUAAUCACGCUCACCGCAGCCUCUAUGUGUUCUACAGCUCUGAAUUCCAGCACUCGCCUACAUGUGCUCCAACUGCCAUUAGGUGGAGGGAGUAGCUGGAGCAGAUUGGUAGAGUUGUUGCUGUGAAAGAUGAGAGGUGAUCUUGCCUCAGGGAUUGCCGUCAGUCUGGUGACAUAAAUGUCAGCGGUCUCCAGGGAUCAAUGAGAGGGGAGCUGGUGCCAGAACAUAACAAACUGGCUACUCAAAAGAGACUUAACUGUCAGCUGGCUACACUUAGGGACAGUACCGGCACAGACAGGAAACAGGGAAUUCCAUAGCUGCAGAAAUAUGUACGUAAAAUGGUAAUAAGAGAAAAACCAAAACCAAAGUAAACACCCUCAAUCACAGUGCAACACCUGCUGGAAAUAUUUAUAAAGGUUACAUCGUUUCCUCCCGUAAGGCUUGGAGAAUUUCCUGAGAAGAAGCAAAAAAACUGUUCAGUCAUUUUUAAGGGAUCAGAAAAAAUUUGUC
This is a long non-coding RNA of Caretta caretta (loggerhead turtle), 563 nucleotides long. RefSeq lists it as uncharacterized. The record is from RefSeq and is a predicted model, not a curated record. Lineage: Eukaryota; Metazoa; Chordata; Testudines; Cheloniidae.